Molecule: ribosomal RNA, 465 nt
Filed under: uncultured bacterium
Lineage: Bacteria
Description: partial 16S ribosomal RNA
Rfam family: Bacterial small subunit ribosomal RNA
Source: RNAcentral
GACGAACGCUGGCGGCGUGCUUAACACAUGCAAGUCGAACGGAAAGGCCCUGCUUGCAGGGUACUCGAGUGGCGAACGGGUGAGUAACGCGUGGGUGAUCUGCCCUGCACUUCGGGAUAAGCCUGGGAAACUGGGUCUAAUACCGGAUAGGAGCCAUUUUUAGUGUGAUGGUUGGAAAGUUUUUUCGGUGUAGGAUGAGCUCGCGGCCUAUCAGCUUGUUGGUGGGGUAAUGGCCUACCAAGGCGGCGACGGGUAGCCGGCCUGAGAGGGUGGACGGCCACAUUGGGACUGAGAUACGGCCCAGACUCCUACGGGAGGCAGCAGUGGGGAAUAUUGCACAAUGGGCGCAAGCCUGAUGCAGCGACGCCGCGUGGGGGAUGACGGCCUUCGGGUUGUAAACUCCUUUCGCUAGGGACGAAGCUUUUUGUGACGGUACCUAGAUAAGAAGCACCGGCUAACUACGUG